Molecule: long non-coding RNA, 805 nt
Organism: Silurus meridionalis
Lineage: Eukaryota; Metazoa; Chordata; Actinopteri; Siluriformes; Siluridae
Exons: 2
Source: RefSeq, a predicted model, not a curated record
UGUCCUUGACUGGCAACAAUUACAGUUAAAUUCAAGUUUAUUUUAAUAGUGAGUUUCACAAUAGACAUUGUCUCAAAGUAUUUUACAGAAUGUAAGAAUUACAGAGCGUGUGUGUGUGUGUGUGUGUGUGUGUGUGUGUGUGUGUGUGUGUGUGUGUGUGUGUGUGUGUGUGUGUGUGUGUGUGUGUGUUUCAUGUAGGAAUCCUUCUGAUGGAUUGAUGUUACUGGUUAGCAUUACUCUCAGAGACAGAUUUUCACUGAGCAUGCUCUUUUCUGUGUUUUGGGGUGGGGUGGGGUGGAAUGGGCGGGGCAGGGUGGGGUGGAAUGGGCGGGGCAGGGCGGGGCGUUGUCAGGUCUAAAGGACAUGUGUUACUUGGAGAUUUCUAGAAAGGGGUGUGGCUUAUGUAGCAGUAUCUCACACCCUUAUUGGACCAUGGAGGGUUUCGAGGGUGGGGUUUGAGCUUUGCAGUGACAUUUUGUAUUUGAUAUAAUCCCUCUACUUUAUCGUAUUUGCGAUUAAACUCCUUUCGGAUUUCUCGAUCCUUCCACCCCUCUUCCUCAGAUGACUUCACUGUGCAAUUAUUUGUGCGCCCCUCUGGUACACUUCUUCCCCUGUCUUUAGCUGUAAUUGGUGCUUUAGGCAAGAUCAUGAAAAAGAAAUGUGUUGCUUUUAGUGUCGAGGUGGCAUUUGUGGCAGGCUCCAUGUUUGCAUCAGUACUAUAAGUGAACUUGUGUUUUUUUUGUUUGUUUGUUUUUAUAAAUAUAUAAUGCUGUCUGAAAGGCACUGGACAGCAGGGAAAACUGAA